GUCUACGACCAUACUAUCCUGAACACGCCCGAUCUUGUCUGAUCUUGGAAGCUAAGCAGGGUAAGGCCUGGUUAGUACCUGGAUGGGAGACCGCCUGGGAAUACCAUGUGCUGUAGGCU
RNAcentral lists this ribosomal RNA (119 nucleotides) under Podarcis muralis (Common wall lizard). Lineage: Eukaryota; Metazoa; Chordata; Lepidosauria; Squamata; Lacertidae. The record is from RNAcentral.